ACGCCCCUGAGCGUGCGGCCGCCUGGGCAGGCGCAGAGCUGGAGUUCAGCGGCCGCGACCCGCCUCUUCCAGAAUAGAGGGUAGCGAGGGGACUACAAGCCCCAGCUGUCCACCCCCGCAGUCGCCGAUUCCUCGCUUGCGCUCGCGGCGGCUCCGCGGCCCGGUUCUCGAGAGCCACAGAUGCGCCCGCGUCGCUGGGGUCUCCCGUGUGGGAACGUCCUCGGCAGGCCGCGGGUUUGAGAGGCAUCGCCGGCGUGACGAAUGCAACCAGCGUGGCCCCAAAUGAGUCGGCGGCCGCCGCAGGUUGACGUAGAGCCGCAGCGCUCCCCGGGGCCGUCACCCUCAGCACUUUCCCUUCUUUAUUUGUUGGGGGCCGCGGGGGCUGGAACCCAGAAGCGCAAGUGUGGGGCGCGUCCUCGUGGCGUCCCUGGCGCUCCGAGGCCGAAACCCGGAUGCUGAGGGGAGGCCGUGAGCUCGGAAAGGCACCGCGGGGCCGGCAUUAGGGCUGAGCUAGCUCUGUACCCUCUGGUGGGACUUUCGGUCUCUCUGGGCCUCGCCAUUCUCUUUCUUUUUCUUGCUUUUUUUUUUUUUUUUUUUUUUUUGGAGACGGAGUCUUGCUCUGUUGCCCAGGCUGGAGUGCAGUGGGACAGUCUGGGCUCAGUGCAACCUUUGCCUCCUGGGUUCAAGCGAUUUUCCCGCCUCAGCCUCCCCAGUAGCUGGAACUACAGGUGCCCGCUAUCACGUCCGGCUAAUUUUUGUUAUUUUUAGUAGAGAUGGGGUUUCACCAUGUUGGCCAGGCUGGUCUCGAACUCCUGACCUCAAGUGAUCCGCCCGCCUUGGCCUCCCAAAGUGCUGGGAUUACAGGCGUGGGCCACCGCGCCCGGCUUUUUUUUUUUUAAUACGGGUUUUCACCCUGUUACCCAGGCUGGUCUCGAACUCCUGCGCUCAGGUGAUCCACCCCCCCGCACCCCGGUCUCCCACAGUGCUGGAAUUACAGGCGUGAGCCACGGCGCCCGGCCUGUUAUUUUGAAGUCAAGCUAUUUUACCAUCCUCUGGAUUUUCGUCAUCCUAAUUCUCCUUCCCAGUCUCAAGGAAAGACAGGCACAUUUUCUUGAUGACUUCAGCAUUUGUAACCCCUUGUUGGCUCUCCUUAGAGGACAUUAACUCUGAACCUUUCAACUUCGAGGAUCUCUUUAGCCCUUCCUUAUUUGUUCACUCUCCUGGAUCAUGAAUUCUCCAAAUUUGUCCUUUGAACCCAGUGCCCAUAUCCACCCUCACCUGAACCCAUUCUUGAAUAAAAUGCAUUCCUACCA
Homo sapiens (human) is the source of this 1313-nucleotide long non-coding RNA. NCBI's taxonomy places the organism in Eukaryota, Metazoa, Chordata, Mammalia, Primates, Hominidae. The record is from Ensembl.